Molecule: ribosomal RNA, 501 nt
Filed under: uncultured bacterium
Lineage: Bacteria
Description: partial 16S ribosomal RNA
Rfam family: Bacterial small subunit ribosomal RNA
Source: RNAcentral
AUUGAACGCUGGCGGCAGGCUUAAUACAUGCAAGUCGAGCGGGGGAAGGUAGCUUGCUACCGGACCUAGCGGCGGACGGGUGAGUAAUGCUUAGGAAUCUGCCUAUUAGUGGGGGACAACAUCUCGAAAGGGAUGCUAAUACCGCAUACGUCCUACGGGAGAAAGCAGGGGAUCUUCGGACCUUGCGCUAAUAGAUGAGCCUAAGUCGGAUUAGCUAGUUGGUGGGGUAAAGGCCUACCAAGGCGACGAUCUGUAGCGGGUCUGAGAGGAUGAUCCGCCACACUGGGACUGAGACACGGCCCAGACUCCUACGGGAGGCAGCAGUGGGGAAUAUUGGACAAUGGGGGGAACCCUGAUCCAGCCAUGCCGCGUGUGUGAAGAAGGCCUUAUGGUUGUAAAGCACUUUAAGCGAGGAGGAGGCUACUCUAGUUAAUACCUAGGGAUAGUGGACGUUACUCGCAGAAUAAGCACCGGUUAACUCUGUGCCAGCAGCCGCGGUAA